GAAAAUAGAACAAGAUGUUGGUGCGCAUCUCAGUUGUAAUUGGCUAUUGGAGAUCAAGGUUCGAUCCCUCGAAGCUUCAAUUUUGUUAUAAAGACAUUCAGUCAUUUCAAAUUACCCCGUGGGUUGGGGGUUGCGUCCUACGAAAAUCCGAAUUCGAAAAAACAUGAAAAAAGGGACAGUUUGAUACAAUUUCUCACGCAACAAGACAAGGUUAAUUAUGUAAAAUAAAAAUAAAUAGAUAAAUAAAUAAAUAAAUAAUUACAUGGUUAAUAAAUUACUCCCCAUUUUCUCAUUUUCCCCUAAACUCUCAACUCAACUUUCUGUCUAGCUCAACUUCUCAAGGACCUCAACGCGCCGCGCGCACCGCCCACGACACCGGGCUGCCGCCCUCCGCCAGUCCUGCUGCCUGCUGCAUAGACGCACAGUCGCCCACUCGCCUGAGCCCGGCAGACACAUUAAUAAUUAAUGCUUGGUAACCAGUUACAAGAGGUAACAAUCAGGCAGUACCAAAGUCCAGUACCCACCUUUUAUCUUCACUCUUUUCUACGGUGGUGGAAGAAGUAGAGGAAGGGAGGAGAGAGAGAGCCUUGGAACAGCGGUAAAGAAGGUGUUCAAUAGUAUCAGAUAUGUCAAUGGAGCCGAAGAAUGACGAGUCGAACUCUGAAGCAAACUCAGCAACAAAGAAGAAGAAAAGAGGAAUAAAUAUACAAGGCUAUCAAAUUGAGGGUUUAUCAAUCGCUGGCCAAGAAACAUGCGUUAUCUUCCCUUCUCUCAACCUCGCUUUCGAUAUCGGAAGGUGCCCUCAACGCGCCAUUUCUCAAGACUUCCUUUUUAUCUCCCAUGGUCAUAUGGACCACAUUGGAGGAUUACCGAUGUAUGUUGCGAUUCGUGGAUUGUUCUCUAUGAAACCUCCUACAAUUUUUGUGCCUAAAGCUAUAAAAGAGGAUGUGGAAAGGCUUUUUAAUGUACACAGAGCAAUGGACCAAUCUGAGCUGAAGAAUAAUUUAGUUGGUCUAGACGUGGGAGAAGAAUUCUAUAUUAGGAGGGAUCUCAAAGUUAAAGCAUUUAAGACAUAUCAUGUCAUUCCCAGUCAGGGAUAUGUAGUUUAUUCAGUUAAGCACAAGCUUAAGCAGGAUUUCAUUGGUCUUCCUGGAAAAGAGAUCAAGGCUUUGAAGGAUAAAGGUGUGGAGAUUACCACAACAACUACAUCCCCUGAGAUAGCAUUUACUGGAGACACAACAGCUGACUUCAUUGUUGAUCCAGCUAAUGUUGAUGUGCUGAGGGCAAAGAUUCUUGUGAUGGAGUGCACCUUCUUAGACAAAGCAGUUGACGUGGUGCAUGCAAGAGAUUAUGGACAUACACAUCUGGAUGAGGUUGUAAAGUAUGCUGAUAAGUUUCAGAAUAAGGCAAUUCUUCUGAUCCACUUUUCUGCAAGAUACUUCAUAGAGGAAAUUGAAGAAGCCAUUUCAAGAUUGCCAUCAACUUUUGCUGGCCGGAUCUUUGCACUCACUGAAGGGAUUUGAUGAUUGGUGUUAUAAUGAAGGCUUUCAGCCACAUCCAUCUCCUGUACAGAAGUCGAGUUUUUGUGCAUUAAAUUAUUGAACUGAUAACAGUGCUGGGGCGGAUGGAUCUUUUCGUGAGCUUCAUUCUUCUUCGGUUUUGGGAGGUGGGUCUCGGGCUUUCCUGGCUGUGUCUGCUUUGCAAGCUGAGUUCCAAGCUUGUUUUUGGCCCAGCGGCAAGUGUUUCGUAAAAUUGCUAUAUAUACUGACUGCUCUUCCUUGGGGGAUCCUGCUCGGUUGAUAUAUUUGCUUUUUGGUUGUCUUGGGAAAUUCAGGCUGCUAUCGACCUUUUCGUCUGCUUUAUUCGAAAGAGAAUAUUAUUACCAAAAGGAGUUGCAAAGCAGCAAACAAGAAUACAAAAGCCCAAAGGCCUAAACUCCAAUACACCAAGAGCCCCUAUGGGCACACAACCACCAGCCAAGGACCAAGACCCAAAGGCCACCUUCUAGGAAGGGUUCCAAAGAACCUUGGACCAAACCCGGCUCUUUUGAACUCAGUGGAAAAGAGCUACCCUCUAGGAGGAUUACCCAAAACCACAGAAACAGGAUAACGACAAACACAAAAACUCUCAAAGAAAAGGCCAUCAAAAAGAAAAGAAAAAAUAGAGGUCAAUAUACCGAAACAGCAACAACAACAGCAUGCAGAAACAGCAGCGGCCAACAAUAACAACAACUGCAUGCAGAAACAGCAGCAGCCUGCAGAAACAGUAACAGCAUACUGAAACAGUAUCAGCAUACAGAAACAACAUCAGCAGCCACAAACCAGAACCCAGCAACAGAAACCAGAGACAGCAACAUCACACAGCAAGACAGGCAGCAUCCCAGCCUGAACCAGCAUCAAACAGCAGCCUGAAACAGAGAAAAACCAGCCUGCACACCCAGCUACAGCUGCACAUAACAGCAAGCAACAACUACAGGCCAUAAAGCAAUAACAAUAGCUAGCAACAUCAGAAAGCAGCAAAAAACUCUGAAACCAGAAGCAAGAAACAGCAAUAUUACAUCAGCAGCCAAGAACAGAACAGAAGCAGCAAGCCAGAAGGCAGCAGCCACAACAAUAACAAACUAAACAGCAACAACAACCAAAAACCAACUACUGAUAACCAACCCAGCGCAUUGAAACUGAACAACAGCAGUAGCAGGGAACAAAGCAAUAGCAACAGCUAGCAACACAUAACCCAACAAAAGCCACAGCAGCAGCUCAAACUAGCAGCAGGUCAUGAGAUAUUUCCGAGCUCCUUCUGAGCAUCUACAAACAACUCUAAACACAAUAUUCCGAAACUCGGAAUUAGCAUCGACACAAGAACCAUUAAACAUGGUUGAGUUACGUUGAAUCCAAAUGCUAUAGACCGUUUCAGCAAAAAACAUUAAGAAUAAGUUCUUCCUCUCA
Chenopodium quinoa (quinoa) is the source of this 2945-nucleotide RNA transcript. It is a transcript of the gene named tRNase Z TRZ1-like, with no coding region annotated. The transcript has 11 exons. Lineage: Eukaryota; Viridiplantae; Streptophyta; Magnoliopsida; Caryophyllales; Amaranthaceae. The record is from RefSeq and is a predicted model, not a curated record.